This 199-nucleotide non-coding RNA is filed under the name Myxococcales bacterium. Its description in RNAcentral is "6S RNA". It matches the Rfam family "6S / SsrS RNA". From Rfam's summary of the family: E. coli 6S RNA was the first non coding RNA to be sequenced, but its function was unknown until recently. It consists of 184 nucleotides that fold into an extended hairpin structure with a large single-stranded internal bulge. The 6S RNA specifically associates with RNA polymerase holoenzyme containing the sigma70 specificity factor. Lineage: Bacteria; Pseudomonadati; Myxococcota; Myxococcia; Myxococcales. The record is from RNAcentral.
UCCUUUCUGUUCGGUUCGUGAAUGCGGAUCCAUGAAUCCCGGAUAUCUCGAACCCGGGAGGCAAACGGUCGUUCGGUGUGCACGCCGGGCCUCCACUUCGGUGGCGGAUAACUCGGAAGCCUGAAGCGCGGCCCUCGCUUCCCACCUAGCCGAGUGGCUAGGGGUUCAUGAUCCCGCACACGGCCAGGGCGGUUUGGAA